This 455-nucleotide unclassified non-coding RNA is filed under the name Hevea brasiliensis (rubber tree). The record is from RNAcentral. Lineage: Eukaryota; Viridiplantae; Streptophyta; Magnoliopsida; Malpighiales; Euphorbiaceae.
GUGAGGAUGAGUGACAUCAGCUCCCAUAAAGAUCGCAGGUUCAUCAGAAUGAAGAAGACGUGGAAUCUGAGAGGGUAAUGAAUUGUACAAUGCAACUGUACAUCCUCCAACUUUGGCAUUGAUCUUGAGAGACAAAUUAGCCAAAAAUUGUGAACUCAACUUGCCAAGAUUGGCAAACAAGCAGCACUGGCUUACAACACCUACAUUUGUCUCCGCUAUUCGCUUCAAAUCUGCAUAUCCUUUGUGUCUCUUCUCCAUUAUACAAAUAAGCAGCUGGAGAUUGUUCGAGGCAGCUUUGUGGAUUUUCUUGAGUUUUGAUUCCAGAAGGGCGACAUUAUUGAGCACUUGAGUUGGCUCAUAUUGAGGGCUAAUUAUUGUGCUUUUGCUAAGAAAGAUGCCUAAAUGUUCACACCUUUGAGAUAGCUGGUUUAUGAAUUUUGGAAUGUUAGACUUCU